RNAcentral lists this ribosomal RNA (487 nucleotides) under uncultured bacterium. RNAcentral's name for it is "bacterial SSU rRNA". It matches the Rfam family "Bacterial small subunit ribosomal RNA", at positions 28 to 509 of the family's 1533-position model. The record is from RNAcentral.
GAUGAACGCUAGCGGCAGGCCUAAUACAUGCAAGCCGAACGGUAAAUAUUGUAGCAAUACAAUAUGAGAGUAGCGUAAGGGUGCGUAACACGUAUGCAAUCUGCCCUGUACAGGAGAAUAGCUCGGGGGAAACCCGGAUUAAUACUCCGUAAUAUUGUUGGGAGGCAUCUCUUGACAAUUAAAGUCGCAAGACGGUAUAGGAUGAGCAUGCGUCUGAUUAGCUAGUUGGUGGUGUAACGGACCACCAAGGCGAUGAUCAGUAGGGGAACUGAGAGGUUGAUCCCCCACACUGGCACUGAGAUACGGGCCAGACUCCUACGGGAGGCAGCAGUAGGGAAUAUUGGUCAAUGGAUGCAAGUCUGAACCAGCCAUGCCGCGUGCAGGAAGAAGGCCUUCUGGGUUGUAAACUGCUUUUGCCGGGGGAUAAAAAGUCCAUGCGUGGAUAAUUGAAGGUACCCGGUGAAUAAGCCACGGCUAACUACGUGCC